Molecule: ribosomal RNA, 252 nt
Filed under: uncultured bacterium
Lineage: Bacteria
Description: partial 16S ribosomal RNA
Rfam family: Bacterial small subunit ribosomal RNA
Source: RNAcentral
UACGGAGGAUGCGAGCGUUAUCCGGAUUUAUAGGGUUUAAAGGGUGCGUAGGCGGGCUUUUAAGUCAGCGGUAAAAAUUCGGGGCUCAACCCCGUCCGGCCGUUGAAACUGGGGGCCUUGAGUGGGCGAGAAGAAGGCGGAAUGCGUGGUGUAGCGGUGAAAUGCAUAGAUAUCACGCAGAACCCCGAUUGCGAAGGCAGCCUUCCGGCGCCCUACUGACGCUGAGGCACGAAAGUGCGGGGAUCGAACAGG